This 72-nucleotide transfer RNA is filed under the name Leptospiraceae bacterium. RNAcentral describes it as "tRNA-Arg". It matches the Rfam family "tRNA". From Rfam's summary of the family: Transfer RNA (tRNA) molecules are approximately 80 nucleotides in length. Their secondary structure includes four short double-helical elements and three loops (D, anti-codon, and T loops). The record is from RNAcentral. Lineage: Bacteria; Pseudomonadati; Spirochaetota; Leptospiria; Leptospirales; Leptospiraceae.
GCCCCGGUAGUUCAACGGAUAGAACAACAGUCUUCGGAACUGUGAGUGGGGGUUCGAUUCCCUCCCAGGGCA